RNAcentral lists this long non-coding RNA (573 nucleotides) under Pan troglodytes (chimpanzee). Its description in RNAcentral is "long non-coding RNA NONPTRT013727". Lineage: Eukaryota; Metazoa; Chordata; Mammalia; Primates; Hominidae. The record is from RNAcentral.
UCACAAAAACCAAUUUCAGAUAAACUCAGAUACACAGUUCAUGUAAACCGAAUGUAGACUUAAAUUUAGCCAACACAUAAAAAGUCAUAGGAGUUAUAAAAAUGAUAUUUUAUUGAAGUCAUAAAAUUUCAUCCAUGUCCCUACAAAGGACAUGAACUCACCUUUUUUAUGGCUGCAUAGUAUUCCAUGGUGUAUAUGUGCCACAUUUUCUUAAUCCAAUCUAUCAUUGUUGGACAUUUGGGUUGGUUCCAAGUCUUUGCUAUUGUGAAUAGUGCCACAAUAAACAAACGUGCACGUGUGUCUUUAUAGCAGCAUGAUUUAUAGUCCUUUGGGUAUAUACCCGGUAAUGGGAUGGCUGGGUCAAAUGGUAUUUCUAGUUCUAGAUCCCUGAGGAAUUGCCACACUGACUUCCACAAUGGUUGAACUAGUUUACAGUCCCACCAACAGCGUAAAAGUGUUCCUAUUUCUCCACAUCCUCUCCAGCACCUGUUGUUUCCUGACUUUUUAAUGACUGCCAUUCUAACUGGCCAGUUCUAAGAAGCAAAUUAAGACAAGUUUGUUAGAAAUGAAUAU